This 253-nucleotide ribosomal RNA is filed under the name uncultured bacterium. Its description in RNAcentral is "partial 16S ribosomal RNA". It matches the Rfam family "Bacterial small subunit ribosomal RNA", at positions 524 to 776 of the family's 1533-position model. The record is from RNAcentral.
UACGGGGGAUGCAAGCGUUAUCCGGAAUCACUGGGCGUAAAGAGUCUGUAGGUGGCUUAAUAAGUCUGCUGUUAAAUAUCAAAGCUUAACUUUGAAACAGCGGUAGAAACUAUUAUGCUGGAGUAUGGUAGGGGUAGAGGGAAUUCCCAGUGUAGCGGUGAAAUGCGUAGAUAUUGGGAAGAACACCAGUGGCGAAGGCGCUCUACUGGGCCAUUACUGACACUCAGAGACGAAAGCUAAGGUAGCGAAUGGG